CCAGCAGCCGCGGUAAUUCCAGCUCCAAUAGCGUAUAUUAAAGUUGCUGCAGUUAAAAAGCUCGUAGUUGAUAAUCGGUGCUCGUCUCGGCGGUCCUGUUCACGCAGGCACUGCCUUGGCGGCACUUACACAUAGGCUGCUGGGUGCCAGUGGCAGGAAACUGUUGCUGGUAGCCAAAGCCCCGGGUGCCCUUUAAUGGGUGGCCGUGGGUGGCCUAUGCGUUUACUUUGAAGAAAUUAGAGUGUUCAAAGCGGGCUCUUGUAGCUCGAAUAGUCGUACAUGGAAUAAUGGAAAAGGACUCUGGUCCAUUUUCGUUGGUCUAUGGACAUUGAGUAAUGAUUAAAAGGGACUGCCGGGGGCAUUGGUAUGGCGGGGGUAGAGGUGAAAUUCGGUGAUCCUCGCCAGACCGACUACAGCGAAAGCAUUUGCCAAGAAUGUCUUCAUUAAUCAAGAACGAAAGU
Molecule: ribosomal RNA, 461 nt
Filed under: uncultured eukaryote
Lineage: Eukaryota
Description: SSU rRNA
Rfam family: Eukaryotic small subunit ribosomal RNA
Source: RNAcentral